GUGCCAGCCGCCGCGGUAAUACGGAGGGGGUUAGCGUUGUUCGGAAUUACUGGGCGUAAAGCGCGCGUAGGCGGAUCGGAAAGUUGGGGGUGAAAUCCCGGGGCUCAACCCCGGAACUGCCCUCAAAACUGUCGGUCUAGAGUCCGGGAGAGGUGAGUGGAACUCCGAGUGUAGAGGUGAAAUUCGUAGAUAUUCGGAAGAACACCAGUGGCGAAGGCGGCUCACUGGCCCGGUACUGACGCUGAGGUGCGAAAGCGUGGGGAGCAAACAGGAUUAGAAACCCUGGUAGUCC
Molecule: ribosomal RNA, 292 nt
Filed under: uncultured bacterium
Lineage: Bacteria
Description: partial 16S ribosomal RNA
Rfam family: Bacterial small subunit ribosomal RNA
Source: RNAcentral